CACCCAUAAGAAAUAUCUUGAUGGUUUUAUGCCAUUCAGGAUAGUGCUUUCUAUCAAAUUUUUCAUCUGUAAUUUUGACAGAUGCCGAGAUUACUUUAGAAGCAACUAUAGGUGACUUCUCUGACAUUUUUGAACUCACAUUUGAUUUUUCAAUUUGAAUUUUCUCUGCUCUUUGGUCAGCUAUACUACAGACAACAAAUGAUAUCCAGAAUAGAAAGACUGAACC
This 226-nucleotide long non-coding RNA is filed under the name Elaeis guineensis (African oil palm). Its description in RNAcentral is "long non-coding RNA (EGUI_LNC001953)". Lineage: Eukaryota; Viridiplantae; Streptophyta; Magnoliopsida; Arecales; Arecaceae. The record is from RNAcentral.